RNAcentral lists this long non-coding RNA (2702 nucleotides) under Sus scrofa (pig). Its description in RNAcentral is "lncRNA (ENSSSCG00040008720.1)". Lineage: Eukaryota; Metazoa; Chordata; Mammalia; Artiodactyla; Suidae. The record is from RNAcentral.
AGCCCUGACUUGGGUUCUUCACAUCCUCAACCUGAAAACCACUCCCACCUGCAAGAGCUGAUGCAGUGUUUGAACAGCCUCCAGAGAGUGCCUAAUUUUAUAGGAAUGGAGUUCUCCAAAUAUCCACCCAAAAAGGAGCGGAGAGGUGAGUUGAAGUACAAAUGAACCACAGAUGAACUGAGGACCACUGUGUAUUCCUGUCUCCUUUGCCGCUUGGAAAUUAAAGGAGGAAGAACUGUAGGCACCCCGCCAUUCUCUUAGCCGGUAUCACCUAGCCAGAUGCCUGGGAGAUAAAAGGUAUAAAAUUACCCCCUUAUAUUUUCCCUCCAAGGAGAUUUCGCUUCUGGGAUCCUAGCACCAGAAAAUAGAAACCCUUGGCUACUUAACAAACAGGUAACCAACACUUUUUAGACUUGCGUGUGCUUCUUGAAUUACCAAGGGAAAGGUAUGAUUUCACACAAAGUCAAAGAUGACAGAUGAUGUGUUCAGGACGUAUACAGGUGAUCUGUUGUCCGCAGCAUCUGAAGAGUGCUUUCCUUGCCUUCUCAAUUCCCCUGCUGCCUGGUAACCAGGAGGCAGCGCAGUGCAGCGCAGGGCCACGGGUAUCAAACUGAGGAUCACCUCCAGGGCUUCCACCUACCACCUACCAGCCGUGGGACAUCGGGCAAAUUCCUCGACUUGACGGGGCUCUUAUGAGGAUUAAGUGAGAUAAUCUGUGUAAAGCUUUUAGUACCGGGCCACAUGGUAAGUACUCAGAAGGGACUGUUGGUACUUACAGUUCUGGAGAGGCUAGGUCCUCUAAUCACCUGUGUUUUCUGCUGGGUGAACCAAGGGGAUUUUCCACCUCCUGGUUAGUUCAUAAGGUAUGUUAAUCACAGGAAAGUUUAUACGAUGAUGAGUUGGUGGUUGCCUAAUUUGAUGAGUCAGAUUGUUUUCUUUUUUUCACUUCUGUGUUGAAAAUAGAAAUUUAGGUCAACUUUUUGCUGGAGGCAGAAAAGUUUUUUUAGGAGUUCUCCUGUGGGGCAGCGGGUUCAGGAUUCGGCAUUGUCACCGCAGCGGCUUGGGACACUGCUGUGGCUGGUGUUCCAUCCCUGGCCUGGGAACUUCCACAGGCCGAGGGUGCGGCCAAAAACAAAACAUUCUUUUUAUUGGGUUACCUGUCUGAAAUGAGAAAGAAACCCCUUUGAAUGCCUGGCUAUCGACUCAGCCCCACAGCUGAUAUGAAUAGAUUUCCUUUGGGAACCUCAAGUAAGAGUCUUAGGAGAGAGUCUAUAUAUGGCUCUUAAGCUGGGAAACAUCGAUUAAAAUCUAGCUUAGAUUUAGUUUCUAAGGCUACCGGAAUUGAGACAUUUAAAAACUCAGAAUACCAGGAUUCUUUGGGUGAAUUUAACAGUGUGUGCUGUGAACAGCUGCACGAGAAUCAAAGGUCAUUACUGCCAUUGCCCAGGGCUGCAGUGUCAGCAAAGGCAACCCAGCAGGAGGAUGCAUGUGGUGGGAAUUUCGGGAUGCCUAGGACCACCCAAUGUGGUCAUCCCACUAAGAAGAGCUUACCUAACGCAUUGCUCUAAUAGGCUCUUAGGUUGCUAAUAAUCAUAUGGCCUUAAUCAGCAGUAAAUGAGAACCUACUUAAUCAAGCCACAGUCUUAAGGUAGUGUGAAGUAACAAGAAAAGUGAACUGCUACUAAGUGGCAUUACUCUGACAAGACUGGCAUAUUUUCAUUUUCCCAGUGUUCUCUUCUGUGCAUGAAACUGGGUUCUGGGCUUAAUAACCCUCAGCCAUAAAGUACUGUAACAUGUUAGUUCAUGCUGGGUGGCAACAGGUUUGUUUUUCAUGAUUAUGUAAUCUGAAUUCUUCUUCCAAGAAAGGAUUUGGAAAUGAGCUAUUAAAUUGGAUUGCCAGCAGACAUUUGGUCUAAAUGCACAUCUGCAUUAGCUGCAUGAAACUCCGGCCCUUUCUCUCUCAUGGCCCCCUACCCCUCUACAAAUCUGAAAACUGCAACUCUAGUGUGGCCCAUGAGAAAAACAGUCCAGCAGCUGGCCGAGGUUUACAUAAAGCAGUGAAAUGCCUACUAAGGAUUUUUAGGUGAGGGUAUUUGAUCUUCCUUGGUCUUAAAUAGCAACCUAAUGAGCCAGGCGAUCUGGGCACUCCGUACACUUGUACCCAGAUUAGAUUGGCUUUAAAAACUAAUAUAGUGUUAAAAUAUUGUGUAAAGGGUGCCUACUGGAGUAGGUUCAAAGACUUCAAGUGCUAGGUUGGUAUUUAUUGACUAAAAUGCUACUUAGAAAAGAGUUCACGUUGUUCUUAAUUUCCAAGACAAAGCUGAAAACCACAGCAAAUAACUGCUUGGGGGUUUGCAUUCCAUAGUCCUGGACUCAGAGGCAAGCUUCCUGUUCCCUCUUGGCUGGCAGACCCGACCCGAAGGCCAGGCGGUGAAUGGUUUGGUUCUUAGAGUUGCAGAAUCUGCGCUGGGUGCCAGACCAGGUGUUUUUUGUUUUUUUAAGUUCAUCGUAAAGAUUUGGAUCUCACGGAAAGAGAACAGGAGAGCAGACUGAGUUAGGUAUUUGGGCAAAGACCAUCUCUUUACAAAGAUCCACACACCUGAGUAGCUCCCAAAGAGGAGGGUUUCAAAAUAACUGAGACCCACACUUGGAAAACACGAAUCAUUCCCUGGGAUCUUCUUGGUAAGAUGUCAGGAAUUAAA